AUAUCAAUAAGCGGAGGAAAAGAAACUAACAAGGAUUCCCCUAGUAACUGCGAGUGAAGCGGGAAAAGCUCAAAUUUAAAAUCUGGCGGUCUUUGACUGUCCGAGUUGUAAUCUAGAGAAGUGUUAUCCGCGCUGGACCGUGUACAAGUCUCCUGGAAUGGAGCGUCAUAGAGGGUGAGAAUCCCGUCUUUGACACGGACUGCCAGGGCUUUGUGAUGCGCUCUCGAAGAGUCGAGUUGUUUGGGAAUGCAGCUCAAAAUGGGUGGUAAAUUCCAUCUAAAGCUAAAUAUUGGCGAGAGACCGAUAGCGAACAAGUACCGUGAGGGAAAGAUGAAAAGAACUUUGGAAAGAGAGUUAAACAGUACGUGAAAUUGCUGAAAGGGAAACGCUUGAAGUCAGUCGCGUUGUCCAGGGAUCAACCUUGCUUUUGCUUGGUGCACUUUCUGGUUGACGGGUCAGCAUCAAUUUUGACUAUUGGAAAAAGAUUAGGGGAAUGUGGCAUCUUCGGAUGUGUUAUAGCCCUUGGUUGCAUACAAUGGUUGGGAUUGAGGAACUCAGCACGCCGCAAGGCCGGGUUUUUAACCACGUACGUGCUUAGGAUGCUGGCAUAAUGGCUUUAAUCGACCCGUCUUGAAACACGGACCAAGGAGUCUAACAUGCCUGCGAGUGUUUGGGUGGAAAACUCGAGCGCGCAAUGAAAGUGAAAGUUGAGAUCCCUGUCGUGGGGAGCAUCGACGCCCGGACCAGACCUUUUGUGACGGUUCCGCGGUAGAGCAUGUAUGUUGGGACCCGAAAGAUGGUGAACUAUGCCUGAAUAGGGUGAAGCCAGAGGAAACUCUGGUGGAGGCUCGUAGCGAUUCUGACGUGCAAAUCGAUCGUCAAAUUUGGGUAUAGGGGCGAAAGACUAAUCGAACCAUCUAGUAGCUGGUCUGC
RNAcentral lists this ribosomal RNA (933 nucleotides) under Cortinarius sp. PDD 91872. Its description in RNAcentral is "LSU rRNA". It matches the Rfam family "Eukaryotic large subunit ribosomal RNA", at positions 40 to 959 of the family's 3401-position model. Lineage: Eukaryota; Fungi; Basidiomycota; Agaricomycetes; Agaricales; Cortinariaceae. The record is from RNAcentral.